This 252-nucleotide ribosomal RNA is filed under the name uncultured Bacteroidales bacterium. Its description in RNAcentral is "partial 16S ribosomal RNA". It matches the Rfam family "Bacterial small subunit ribosomal RNA", at positions 524 to 776 of the family's 1533-position model. The record is from RNAcentral. Lineage: Bacteria; Pseudomonadati; Bacteroidota; Bacteroidia; Bacteroidales.
UACGGAGGAUGCGAGCGUUAUCCGGAUUUAUUGGGUUUAAAGGGUGCGUAGGCGGGCUGUUAAGUCAGCGGUCAAAUGUCGGGGCUCAACCCCGGCCUGCCGUUGAAACUGGCAGACUUGAGUUGGCGAGAAGUACGCGGAAUGCGCGGUGUAGCGGUGAAAUGCAUAGAUAUCGCGCAGAACUCCGAUUGCGAAGGCAGCAUACCGGCGGCGAUCUGACGCUGAGGCACGAAAGCGUGGGUAUCAAACAGG